ACUUAAGCAUAUCAAUAAGCGGAGGAAAAGAAACUAACAAGGAUUCCCCUAGUAACUGCGAGUGAAGAGGGAAGAGCUCAAAUUUAAAAUCUGGCAGUCUUAUGUCUGUCCGAGUUGUAAAUUAGAGAAGCGUUAUCCGCGCUGGCCUGUGCAAAAGUCUCUUGGAAAAGAGCAUCAUAGAGGGUGACAAUCCCGUCUUUGGCACAGACUACCAGGGCUUUUGUGAUGCGUUCUCGAUGAGUCGAGUUGUUUGGGAAUGCAGCUCUAAAUGGGUGGUAAAUUCCAUCUAAAGCUAAAUAUUGGCGAGAAACCGAUAGCGCACAAGUACCGUGAGGGAAAGAUGAAAAGAACUUUGAAAAGAGAGUUAAACAGUACGUGAAAUUGUUGAAAGGGAAACGCUUGAAGUCAGUCGUGUCCUUCAGAAAUCAACCUGACCUCGGUUGGGCGUACUUUCUGUUGGAUGGGUCAGCAUCAAUUUUGACCGUUGGAUAAAGGCCUUGGGAAUGUGGCAUCUCCGGAUGUGUUAUAGACCAUGGUUCGGAUACAAUGGUUGGGAUUGAGGAACUCAGUGUGACUUUUAGUUUGGGGCUUCGGCCUACACUACGCACUUAGGAUGCUGGCAUAAUGGCUUUAAUCGACCCGUCUUGAAACACGGACCAAGGAGUCUAACAUACAUGCGAGUGU
This 684-nucleotide ribosomal RNA is filed under the name Clavicorona taxophila. Its description in RNAcentral is "LSU rRNA". It matches the Rfam family "Eukaryotic large subunit ribosomal RNA", at positions 32 to 693 of the family's 3401-position model. The record is from RNAcentral. Lineage: Eukaryota; Fungi; Basidiomycota; Agaricomycetes; Agaricales; Clavariaceae.